RNAcentral lists this transfer RNA (72 nucleotides) under Mus musculus (house mouse). Its description in RNAcentral is "tRNA-His". The record is from RNAcentral. Lineage: Eukaryota; Metazoa; Chordata; Mammalia; Rodentia; Muridae.
AUAGAUAUAGCUCAGUGGUAGGGCACUUGCCUAUGAUGCACAAGGCCCUAGGUUCAAUAUCCAGCAUUGAAA